This 404-nucleotide ribosomal RNA is filed under the name uncultured Eubacteriales bacterium. RNAcentral describes it as "bacterial SSU rRNA". It matches the Rfam family "Bacterial small subunit ribosomal RNA", at positions 356 to 774 of the family's 1533-position model. The record is from RNAcentral. Lineage: Bacteria; Bacillati; Bacillota; Clostridia; Eubacteriales.
GGGGAAUAUUGCACAAUGGGCGAAAGCCUGAUGCAGCAACUCCGCGUGAAGGAAGAAGGGUUUCGGCUCGUAAACUUCUAUCAACAGGGACGAAAAAAAUGACGGUACCUGAAUAAGAAGCCCCGGCUAACUACGUGCCAGCAGCCGCGGUAAUACGUAGGGGACAAGCGUUGUCCGGAUUUACUGGGCGUAAAGGGCACGCAGGCGGUUUUUUAAGUCAGAUGUGAAAGGUACCGGCUCAACCGGUAACAUGCAUUUGAAACUGAAAGACUUGAGUAUUGGAGAGGCAAGUGGAAUUCCUAGUGUAGCGGUGAAAUGCGUAGAUAUUAGGAGGAACACCGGUGGCGAAGGCGGCUUGCUGGACAAAUACUGACGCUGAGGUGCGAAAGCGUGGGGAGCAAACA